GAGCUCAGUUGGUAGAGCCUGAGGCCUUUAAUCUCAGGCUCAUGGGUUCACGUCCCACGUUGGGCU
This is a non-coding RNA of Podarcis lilfordi (Lilford's wall lizard), 66 nucleotides long. The record is from the annotation of a GenBank genome assembly. NCBI's taxonomy places the organism in Eukaryota, Metazoa, Chordata, Lepidosauria, Squamata, Lacertidae.